Molecule: ribosomal RNA, 252 nt
Filed under: uncultured bacterium
Lineage: Bacteria
Description: partial 16S ribosomal RNA
Rfam family: Bacterial small subunit ribosomal RNA
Source: RNAcentral
UACGUAGGGGCAAGCGUUGUCCGGAAUCAUUGGGCGUAAAGCGCGUGUAGGCGGUCCGGUAAGUCCGCUGUGAAAGUCCGGGGCUCAACUCCGGAUCUGCGGUGGGUACGGGCAGACUAGAGUGAUGUAGGGGAGACUGGAAUUCCUGGUGUAGCGGUGAAAUGCGUAGAGAUCGGGAGGAACACCUGUGGCGAAGGCGGCCCCUGGGCCGGCCCUGACACUGAGACGCGAAGGCGUGGGGAGCGAACGGGG